CGGACGGGUGAGUAAUGUCUGGGAAACUGCCCGAUGGAGGGGGAUAACUACUGGAAACGGUAGCUAAUACCGCAUAACGUCGCAAGACCAAAGAGGGGGACCUUGGGCCUCUUGCCAUCGGAUGUGCCCAGAUGGGAUUAGCUAGUAGGUGGGGUAACGGCUCACCUAGGCGACGAUCCCUGCUGGUCUGAGAGGAUGACCAGCCACACUGGAACUGAGACACGGUCCAG
Molecule: ribosomal RNA, 230 nt
Filed under: uncultured bacterium
Lineage: Bacteria
Description: partial 16S ribosomal RNA
Rfam family: Bacterial small subunit ribosomal RNA
Source: RNAcentral